This 440-nucleotide ribosomal RNA is filed under the name uncultured bacterium. RNAcentral describes it as "partial 16S ribosomal RNA". It matches the Rfam family "Bacterial small subunit ribosomal RNA", at positions 338 to 795 of the family's 1533-position model. The record is from RNAcentral.
CCUACGGGUGGCAGCAGUGGGGAAUAUUGCACAAUGGGGGAAACCCUGAUGCAGCGACGCCGCGUGAGUGAAGAAGUAUUUCGGUAUGUAAAGCUCUAUCAGCAGGGAAGAAAAUGACGGUACCUGACUAAGAAGCCCCGGCUAACUACGUGCCAGCAGCCGCGGUAAUACGUAGGGGGCAAGCGUUAUCCGGAUUUACUGGGUGUAAAGGGAGCGCAGACGGCUGUGCAAGUCUGGAGUGAAAGGCGGGGGCCCAACCCCCGGACUGCUCUGGAAACUGUAAAGCUGGAGUGCAGGAGAGGUAAGCGGAAUUCCUAGUGUAGCGGUGAAAUGCGGAGAUAUUAGGAGGAACACCAGUGGCGAAGGCGGCUUACUGGACUGCAACUGACGUUGAGGCUCGAAAGCGUGGGGAGCAAACAGGAUUAGAUACCCUGGUAGUC